UAAUUUGAAUGUUAAGACUGGUAGUCAUGUUAUUGAAGAAACGAAUGUUAGUGGAUCAACUAACGCAGGUAGUAUGACGAAUAGUACUAGUGUAACUAAAAUUUUUGACGAAAAAAACAAAAAAAAAUAUGUUGAUAUGUUAAAAAAUAUAGAUAAAAAAGAAAUGUUAGAUCAUAACCCAAUUAAUGACGUACCAAAGGAGAUAAUAUUUUUAUUAAGAGUAGCUUCAUUGUUACAUGGUAUGUGUUCACAAAUGAAUAUAAAAAUAAAUUAUUUGAAUAUAUUUGCAAUUAGAGCAAAAGAAGCAUUAGAAAAAAUGUAUCAACCUGUUAGUAAAUCCAUUUAUACUAUUCCUAUAGAUAAAAAACCUAAAUGUUUUUUAGAAAAAAGAAUACAUCGCUUUUUAGUUAAAUUAUAUAAACAAAAAAAAAUUUUAGGAUGUCAAGUAGCCAUUAUACAUAAAAAAAAAAUUGUUUGUGAUACAUGUGUAGGAGUAACAAGUACAAUCGAUAGAAGACCUAUAACAAAACAUUCUUUAUUCAAUGGAUAUACAUUAAAUAAAAUUUUAUUAACUAUAGCAUUGAUUCAUUUAAUUUGCAACCAUCAAAAUGAACACACUAUGAAUUACCAACAUGUUUCACAUUUAGAUAAACAAAAACUAAUAUAUAAUGAUAAUAAAAAUAAAAAAGAAGUUGAAAAUGUAUCAAAAACAAAACUAAACAACAAAAAAAAAAUGGUUUAUAUUAAAAAAAAUUACACUAUUGAAAAAGGUUUUAAUGAUAAUAUAAUUGAAAAUAAUUAUUUUAGUUUUACAAAUAUAAAAGGGGAAAAAAAAAGUAGUAACAUUAUGGAUGGGAUAAAUAGCAGUUCUAAUGCUGAUUCUGUUUUUACUCAUACAAAUAAUAAAAGUAAAAAAGUUUACGAAUUUGAUAUUAACACUGCUAAUGCUAUUUGUCCUACUAUAAAAAAUGAAAAGACCAAUAAAGAAGACGACAUUCGUAUUGGAAAAUCUGUUACUGCAACAUGUAGUGACGAUUAUUAUGGCGAUAAUAAUAGUAAUGUCCAUAUGGUUAACACGUUUAAGAAUAAAAGAAAAAGUGAUAAUACAGUAAUGGAUUUGACCAAUUCGAUGGAUGGUGUUACCACAUGUGAUAAGAGAGUAGUUAUGGAGAAAAAUGAGAAAAGAAAUGUGCAGACAAACGAGGAGACAAACGAGGAGACAAACGAGGAGACAAACGUGAAGACAAACGUGAAGACACAAGAAUAUAACGAAAACGAAUGUGGUAAUUCGUUAGCAAAAAUAUUAUAUAACGAUUUAUGUAAAAAACAAAUAAAAAAUUUCAAAAGUACGAUAAAUGAUUAUGUUAGUAACUAUUGGGAU
Molecule: long non-coding RNA, 1381 nt
Filed under: Piliocolobus tephrosceles (Ugandan red Colobus)
Lineage: Eukaryota; Metazoa; Chordata; Mammalia; Primates; Cercopithecidae
Description: lncRNA (ENSPTEG00000001456.1)
Source: RNAcentral